RNAcentral lists this ribosomal RNA (433 nucleotides) under uncultured bacterium. RNAcentral describes it as "partial 16S ribosomal RNA". It matches the Rfam family "Bacterial small subunit ribosomal RNA", at positions 29 to 507 of the family's 1533-position model. The record is from RNAcentral.
AACGAACGCUGGCGGCAGGCCUAACACAUGCAAGUCGAGCGAGCAUUUCGGUGCUAGCGGCGGACGGGUGAGUAACGCGUGGGAACGUGCCCUUUUCUGCGGAAUAGUCCUGGGAAACUGGGGGUAAUACCGCAUACGCCCUUUUGGGGAAAGAUUUAUCGGAGAAGGAUCGGCCCGCGUUGGAUUAGGUAGUUGGUGGGGUAAUGGCCCACCAAGCCGACGAUCCAUAGCUGGUUUGAGAGGAUGAUCAGCCACACUGGGACUGAGACACGGCCCAGACUCCUACGGGAGGCAGCAGUGGGGAAUCUUAGACAAUGGGGGCAACCCUGAUCUGGCCAUGCCGCGUGAGUGAUGAAGGCCUUAGGGUUGUAAAGCUCUUUCAGCUGGGAAGAUAAUGACGGUACCAGCAGAAGAAGCCCCGGCUAACUCCGUG